UAACUAUUACAAGCAUGCUUCACUCGCUAUGACCCGUUAUAUAAGCAUAAAGUACCAUGCAUCUACUAUCCUCGAGGCCAGGUGCUAUAUGACAGAAGAAUAUACAAAUAAUUAAGAGUGCUAAUCCACUGUAAAUAGUAGUUAGCAAUCAUUAACUAUAGUAAGUUAUGAUUUGAGACUAGAAGAGAGAUAUAUAGUAUUCACUGCUCACUUGUUAUAUUGCCCUAGCUUUAGCUCUAAUUAUGUGAUCAUAACAGUUGAAUUUCAUAUAAAUGUUGUGUCUUCAAGCUGAGAGAUGUUGAUUUUUGAUGUGCAUUG
RNAcentral lists this small RNA (318 nucleotides) under Histoplasma ohiense. RNAcentral's name for it is "hypothetical lncRNA". Lineage: Eukaryota; Fungi; Ascomycota; Eurotiomycetes; Onygenales; Ajellomycetaceae. The record is from RNAcentral.